CUGUAAGCCGUUGAAGGUGUGCUGUGAGGCAUGCUGGAGGUAUCAGAAGUGCGAAUGCUGACAUAAGUAACGAUAAAGCGGGUGAAAAGCCCGCUCGCCGGAAGACCAAGGGUUCCUGUCCAACGUUAAUCGGGGCAGGGUGAGUCGACCCCUAAGGCGAGGCCGAAAGGCGUAGUCGAUGGGAAACAGGUUAAUAUUCCUGUACUUGGUGUUACUGCGAAGGGGGGACGGAGAAGGCUAUGUCAGCCGGGCGACGGUUGUCCCGGUUUAAGCAUGUAGGCGGAGGUUCCAGGUAAAUCCGGUACCUUUUAACGCUGAGGUGUGAUGACGAGGCACUACGGUGCUGAAGUGAUAAAUGCCCUGCUUCCAGGAAAAGCCUCUAAGCAUCAGGUAACACGAAAUCGUACCCCAAACCGACACAGGUGGUCAGGUAGAGAAUACCAAGGCGCUUGAGAGAACUCGGGUGAAGGAACUAGGCAAAAUGGUGCCGUAACUUCGGGAGAAGGCACGCUGAUGUGUAGGUGAAGCCCCUGCGGGCGGAGCUGAAAUCAGUCGAAGAUACCAGCUGGCUGCAACUGUUUAUUAAAAACACAGCACUGUGCAAACACGAAAGUGGACGUAUACGGUGUGACGCCUGCCCGGUGCCGGAAGGUUAAUUGAUGGGGUUAGCGGCAACGCGAAGCUCUUGAUCGAAGCCCCGGUAAACGGCGGCCGUAACUAUAACGGUCCUAAGGUAGCGAAAUUCCUUGUCGGGUAAGUUCCGACCUGCACGAAUGGCGUAAUGAUGGCCAGGCUGUCUCCACCCGAGACUCAGUGAAAUUGAACUCGCUGUGAAGAUGCAGUGUACCCGCGGCAAGACGGAAAGACCCCGUGAACCUUUACUAUAGCUUGACACUGAACACUGGUCCUUGAUGUGUAGGAUAGGUGGGAGGCUUUGAAGCGUGGACGCCAGUCUGCGUGGAGCCAACCUUGAAAUACCACCCUUUAAUGGCUGGUGUUCUAACGUGGACCCGUUAUCCGGGUUGCGGACAGUGUCUGGUGGGUAGUUUGACUGGGGCGGUCUCCUCCCAAAGAGUAACGGAGGAGCACGAAGGUUGGCUAAUCCUGGUCGGACAUCAGGAGGUUAGUGCAAUGGCAUAAGCCAGCUUGACUGCGAGCGUGACGGCGCGAGCAGGUGCGAAAGCAGGUCAUAGUGAUCCGGUGGUUCUGAAUGGAAGGGCCAUCGCUCAACGGAUAAAAGGUACUCCGGGGAUAACAGGCUGAUACCGCCCAAGAGUUCAUAUCGACGGCGGUGUUUGGCACCUCGAUGUCGGCUCAUCACAUCCUGGGGCUGAAGUAGGUCCCAAGGGUAUGGCUGUUCGCCAUUUAAAGUGGUACGCGAGCUGGGUUUAGAACGUCGUGAGACAGUUCGGUCCCUAUCUGCCGUGGGCGCUGGAGAAUUGAGGGGGGCUGCUCCUAGUACGAGAGGACCGGAGUGGACGCAUCACUGGUGUUCGGGUUGUCAUGCCAAUGGCACUGCCCGGUAGCUAAAUGCGGAAGAGAUAAGUGCUGAAAGCAUCUAAGCACGAAACUUGCCCCGAGAUGAGUUCUCCCUGAGACUUUAAGUCUCCUGAAGGAACGUUGAAGACGACGACGUUGAUAGGUCGGGUGUGUAAGCGCAGCGAUGCGUUGAGCUAACCGAUACUAAUGAACCGUGAGGCUUAACCUU
Molecule: ribosomal RNA, 1708 nt
Filed under: Enterobacter hormaechei
Lineage: Bacteria; Pseudomonadati; Pseudomonadota; Gammaproteobacteria; Enterobacterales; Enterobacteriaceae
Description: partial 23S ribosomal RNA
Rfam family: Bacterial large subunit ribosomal RNA
Source: RNAcentral